Molecule: long non-coding RNA, 924 nt
Organism: Carassius carassius (crucian carp)
Lineage: Eukaryota; Metazoa; Chordata; Actinopteri; Cypriniformes; Cyprinidae
Exons: 2
Source: RefSeq, a predicted model, not a curated record
UUUUUAUAGCUCCUAGAAUGAGAAAAUCAGCUGUGCAUCAUCUCUGUGAUUUGGGAAGGAAAUGACUGAAUAUGAUGAAGCCAGUUGAUGAAGAUAUCAAUUCAAUGGCCACCGAGUGCAGCACUGCUACCUGAACCCAUCAGUUAUCUGCUGUGAAGACUGCAUUCACAAACCGCUCUACUGCGACAGCUCAGAUGUUACGGCCCGUAAAAGUAAACAUCACAGCUAAACAACGAGAGCUAAUUGUGGGGGGAUUCUUUUGGCCCAUAUCCCCAACAAGAAUCAAUGUUAAGUCCAGUGCAACAAUUAUAAAUAAAAAUACUAUAUAUUGUUUAUUGAUUUACCAUACCCUAAAUACAUGUUUUGUCCCUCCAGGACAUCUACACCAGGUGGAGUAUGAGGAGGACCGUCAGAGACUCCCGAGCCAUGGAUUGCUCUCACCAUUAUCAUCAAGCAAACGUUAUCACAGAACCUACACCAGCAGACAGUGAGACAAGUUCCUUUCACAGGCAAUCAGACUUAACUGAACUCAUACCAGUAAAACCAUACACACCCCACCAACCUCAUAUGCCCUGCACUCUUAUCAGUAACGCUGACUGGACUCAAUAUUAUUAUGCACCCUGACAUUCUGUUUGCACUAAUUCAUACCGUGUCACACUGCAGAGAUCUGUGUGUACUGUGAUUAUUAUUGUUUUCAAUUCAUGCUCUGUGUAUAGCAUAAUUUUUUACAUAUAUUGUUCUCUACCUGUAUUGAGUCCCUUAUGUGUGUUGCAUAUACUGUAUAUUCAGAAUUUGUAUUUCAUAUAUAUUCAUUAAUUAAUUCAUUUGUCAUCCAUACUGUAACGCUGCAGUCUGCACCCAAGACUUUCACCACCUGUAUACUUGUGUUCAUUGUAUUGUGACAAUAAAGCAAUUUGAUUUAAA